This 443-nucleotide ribosomal RNA is filed under the name uncultured bacterium. RNAcentral describes it as "partial 16S ribosomal RNA". It matches the Rfam family "Bacterial small subunit ribosomal RNA", at positions 338 to 795 of the family's 1533-position model. The record is from RNAcentral.
CCUACGGGAGGCAGCAGUGGGGAAUAUUGCGCAAUGGGCGCAAGCCUGAUCCAGCAACGCCGCGUGAAGGAGGAAGGAUUUCGGUAUGUAAAGUUCUAUUCUCAGGGACGAAGAAGGUGACGGUACCUUAAGAAUCAGCCACGGCUAACUACGUGCCAGCCGCCGCGGUAAUAAGUAGGUGGCAAGCGUUAUCCGGAUUUAUUGGGAGUAAGGGGGGGGUAGGCGGGAGGGCAAGUCAGAUGUGAAACCUCAGGGCUCAACCCGGAGACUGCAUUGGAAACUGGGAUUCUUGAGUGCUGGAGAGGCAAUCGGAAUUCCGAGUGUAGCGGUGAAAUGCGUAGAUAUAAGGAGGAACACCAGUGGCGAAGGCGGAUUGCUGGACAGUAACUGACGCUGAGGCGCGAAAGCGUGGGGAGCAAACAGGAUUAGAUACCCCGGUAGUC